CAGGAGAAAAGGGAUUC
RNAcentral lists this transfer RNA (17 nucleotides) under Funariella curviseta. Its description in RNAcentral is "partial tRNA-Trp". The record is from RNAcentral. Lineage: Eukaryota; Viridiplantae; Streptophyta; Bryopsida; Funariales; Funariaceae.